UGGUUAUAUUCUUCAACUUGUCGUUUCUCCCAAAUUCCAAUUUUCCCAAUUCUUCCACAAUCCCAGUGAUUUCUAUAACACGAGGAAGCCGACGGCGUUCAAUUACUAAAUUGUUCAUUCCAUUUCCAAUUUUUCCAAUUCUUCCACAAUCAUUCAAUCGUUCAUUAAUUCUUUUGUUCGUAGCCAACGGAGUUUGAUUACUCAUUCGUCGCCGACGGAGUUCGAUUUCUUGCUCGUCGCGGCCGGAGUUUGAUUUCUUGUUCCUCGCAGCCGAAGUUGGGAAGAGCAGUUUGCUAUUCAGUUUCACUUCAGAUACAUUUGAGGGUCAUUCUCCUACGGUAACCCUACUAGUCUGCUACUUUACUGCAUCGUGCGGAGUAUACCUGCAAAUUAUUGCUGUUAGUUAUAAUUUGAGCAGAGGAACAAGACUUGGAGAAGAAGAAAAGAACUUGGUGUUAGUGAGGUUGAAGCUUUUCAGUGAAAAGGAGAUUUCAAGGAAUGAAGUUUCUAAUUGGGAAUGCAUCAAUGAGACCACCAUUUUGUAUAGGAAUAGCCUCCAGGAGCGUUCUAGACUUCCAACUGCUUGUACAUUUGACAGAAUAUUUAGGGGUGACUGCUCAACAAGCUAAGAGAAGUGUAUGAUGGAAGAUCAAAAUGACAUUACUCUUUCAGUUAUCAGGGGUGUUAACUAUGAGUGCCUUCUUCAUGCCUUCGCUCUAAUGUUUAUGCCAUUUUAUCUUAAGAAAACUUCUUUUUUUUCCAAUACAAUACUUCAAUGCAGCAACUAUUUUUGUGUAUGAGCAAACCAACAGUGGAAAGAGAUACACCAUGAAUGGAAUCACAGAGUACAUAGUGGCAUAUAUUUAUGAUUAUAUACAAAAGCAUGAAGAAAGAGCAUUCAUUUUGAAGUUCUUCUGUAAUUGAAAUCUAUAAUGAAGUUAUUAAAGCCCUUCUCAGUUCAGAUAAUUCUACUCUAAGAUUGCUUGAUGAUCCAGAGGGAAGUAGAGAAUGAGAAUGAGAAUGCAGAAAGUAGAGAAGAAACUCUUUUAUACCAUAUUUGACUACACGCCCACACGCGGAGUUUGUGAAGGAUCACUUGCUGCUAUUGAUGGAUUCAACCCAACACUUGCUGUCGCUAUUGAUGGAGUUUGUCAAAUGUUGGUGUUUGGUAUUUUUUUUUAUCACUUUUGUUGAAGGUUAAGAUGAGAGGAAUUGAUGGAUUCACCACAUGCUGUUGAUGGAGUUUGUCAAAUACUGGUGUUUAGUAUUUUUUUGAUCACUUGCUAUUGCUUUUGAAUACUAUGCUCAAAUAUUAAUAUAUUAUUGAAUACUAUUGAAUGUUACAACU
Ipomoea triloba (trilobed morning glory) is the source of this 1348-nucleotide long non-coding RNA. RefSeq lists it as uncharacterized. The record is from RefSeq and is a predicted model, not a curated record. Lineage: Eukaryota; Viridiplantae; Streptophyta; Magnoliopsida; Solanales; Convolvulaceae. The transcript is spliced from 6 exons.